RNAcentral lists this ribosomal RNA (468 nucleotides) under uncultured bacterium. RNAcentral's name for it is "partial 16S ribosomal RNA". It matches the Rfam family "Bacterial small subunit ribosomal RNA", at positions 28 to 507 of the family's 1533-position model. The record is from RNAcentral.
GACGAACGCUGGCGGCGUGCUUAACACAUGCAAGUCGAACGGAAAGGCCCUGCUUUUGUGGGGUGCUCGAGUGGCGAACGGGUGAGUAACACGUGAGUAACCUGCCCUUGACUUUGGGAUAACUUCAGGAAACUGGGGCUAAUACCGGAUAGGAGCUCCUGCUGCAUGGUGGGGGUUGGAAAGUUUCGGCGGUUGGGGAUGGACUCGCGGCUUAUCAGCUUGUUGGUGGGGUAGUGGCUUACCAAGGCUUUGACGGGUAGCCGGCCUGAGAGGGUGACCGGCCACAUUGGGACUGGGAUACGGCCCAGACUCCUACGGGAGGCAGCGGUGGGGAAUAUUGCACAAUGGGGGGAAGCCUGAUGCAGCAACGCCGCGUGCGGGAUGACGGCCUUCGGGUUGUAAACCGCUUUCGCCUGUGACGAAGCGUGAGUGACGGUAAUGGGUAAAGAAGCACCGGCUAACUACGUG